CAAGGCUGGAAGACGAAAGGCAUUAAAUGCAAAUAAAUUGAGUUUUUUGUCCAUUCAAGCCAAAGUACACACAUGAAUGCUGCAACAAUACGAAUCCUUAGAGCACAAAACAAACAAUUUAAAUUCCAAGGGUAGCUGGUAAGCAUGUUUAUCAUGAGGUGACUAGUUUUCAUUUUCAUUUAUAACAGGCAGAAGUAGAAAUGUAUAAAUAUAAUAAUGGAGAAAUUUGUCAAAAAGUUAUCCCUUUUCAUUUUACGCCAUCUCUGUCAUAUAAAGAUGGAAAAUAUGUCAACAACAGGUUAAUCACUUAAGACAUCACUAAUACAUUGGGUCCUCCCAUUUUUCGUCGUCAGAGCUCCAAACUUCCAUUAUACGCAAUCUCUAUCAUAUGAAGAUGGAAAGUAUGUCAGGAAAAGGUUAAGUCAUAUGAAGAUGGAAAGUAUGUCAGGAAAAGGUUAAGUCAUAUGAAGAUGGAAAGUAUGAAGAUGAAAAGCAUGUGUCAAAGUCACCUCAGCAUAACGUCCUAGUGACGGCCAAUAUAUAUGUACCCAAUAUUGGAACAACCUCAUAUCGAAUUUCAGCAGUAGAUAGGUAUUCAAGCU
This 602-nucleotide long non-coding RNA is filed under the name Nicotiana tabacum (common tobacco). Its description in RNAcentral is "long non-coding RNA (NTAB_LNC012520)". Lineage: Eukaryota; Viridiplantae; Streptophyta; Magnoliopsida; Solanales; Solanaceae. The record is from RNAcentral.